This 26-nucleotide non-coding RNA is filed under the name Homo sapiens (human). The record is from RNAcentral. Lineage: Eukaryota; Metazoa; Chordata; Mammalia; Primates; Hominidae.
CAAAGAUGUUGUCAAGGUGAAAUGUA